Molecule: ribosomal RNA, 392 nt
Filed under: uncultured soil bacterium
Lineage: Bacteria
Description: bacterial SSU rRNA
Rfam family: Bacterial small subunit ribosomal RNA
Source: RNAcentral
AGAACGAACGCUGGCGGCAUGCCUAAUACAUGCAAGUCGAACGAACUCUUCGGAGUUAGUGGCGCACGGGUGCGUAACGCGUGGGAAUCUGCCCCUUGGUUCGGAAUAACAGUUGGAAACGACUGCUAAUACCGGAUGAUGACGAAAGUCCAAAGAUUUAUCGCCAAGGGAUGAGCCCGCGUAGGAUUAGCUAGUUGGUGAGGUAAAGGCUCACCAAGGCAACGAUCCUUAGCUGGUCUGAGAGGAUGAUCAGCCACACUGGGACUGAGACACGGCCCAGACUCCUACGGGAGGCAGCAGUAGGGAAUAUUGGACAAUGGGACGAAAGCCUGAUCCAGCAAUGCCGCGUGAGUGAUGAAGUCGUUAGGUUAUAAAGCUUACUUUACCGAGUA